AUCUUGAAGUUGAGUUUGCAGUCGAUGUCCGAUCCGAUCGAAGAUUCUGCACUGACUGCUGCUUGUGAUUCGAUCGGAAAUUAGUGGGAGGAAACUGGUCGAACAGUAAUUAUUUUCCUGAUGACACCAGACAAAUUAGAGAUGGACCAAAAAUUGGUGCGAGAGUGGUUGACAGAAUUUAAGGCACUACCUGGUUCUGGGAUGCCAGCUUUUGCUCGUCAAAUCAGCAGUAAUGUGGAACUCCUGAAGGCUCUGUUUCAUGUCCUGAAUUCAAGCUCGUCAGUGGUAAGUUCAUAUAAUUUUUAAAGUUCUUCUUUAUCUGUAAAAUAGCCAUUGAGGUCUCAUCUAAUAAUCGUAAAGAAGAAGUCCACCCCAAUAGAAAGAGAAAUAGGUAAAAUCCAACAAGGAAACCACUGAAGAUUACAUCUAAAUGAGUUGAUAAGAAAGUUGUGGCUUUUUUAGAAUUUCACUUAUGUUUCACAUGACAGUUAUCCACAACACAAAUGCGAGUCGAUGUUGUCACUCACUCAGUAUUUCCUUUAUAUUGCAGACUUGAUAAUAAGGAGACUCUCCAUCAAAAGACAAUAGGUUGCAAAUUUGACAAUUCCACAUGUUGAAGGAAAUCUUAUCAAAGUUUGUCCUACCUCUUAAUGGGGAGUGAAAAAAAAAUAUAUUAAAUACAAAAGAAAUAGUGAAUGGGUUACAUCAUCGGUUCCCGAAUUUGUGAACUGACCAGGAUGUGCAUACUGUGAAAUAAGCAAACUUUAAAAUUUCAUAACUUUCUUUUUUUACAUCCUAUUUUGAUGAAAUUUUUCAGACUAGAACCUAUAUUUCUCUCGUAUUAAAGUCAAUUUUUAUUUGGUUUAGACUUUCCCUUUUAGUCAAGUAAAAUAAAUGUAUAGACUUUAUUGCCUCUGCCCUAUAAAAGGGACCUGAAGAUAUAUGCAUUUAAAAUGAAAUAAAGAUGAAAAACAAAGAAGAUAUAUGAAAAAAAAAAGAGGCAGGCCUAAUUUUGAUAGAAUUAAAUACAUUGUUGAUGAAAUUAAUACAAUAUAUUUAUGUGUAUAGUGCAUUUUUUGUCAUACUUACCUCUAAAUCUAAUGAUACUAAGGAUUUUUAUUUGUUGUGUCCAUCAUAAUUGUUUAUUUUUAGCAUUUCCAUGGAAAAAAAUUGAUACAUUAUAUUUUGAUAUAUAUUUUUUGAAAGAAUUGUUGCAAAUGAAAAUAGAAAAUCUAAUUAACACCUUAAGCUACAUGCUUAAACAUUAUGUAAUAAUUAAUUUGUAUUCUUAUUUAAAACCAGAAGUACAUAUUACCAGUAAUAC
Long non-coding RNA from Lytechinus pictus (painted urchin), 1324 nucleotides. RefSeq lists it as uncharacterized. The transcript is spliced from 3 exons. Lineage: Eukaryota; Metazoa; Echinodermata; Echinoidea; Temnopleuroida; Toxopneustidae. The record is from RefSeq and is a predicted model, not a curated record.